CACGUAGGGGGCGAGCGUUGUCCGGAUUUAUUGGGCGUAAAGAGCUCGUAGGCGGCUCAGUAAGUCAGGUGUGAAAACUCCAGGCUCAACCUGGAGACGCCACUUGAUACUGCUGUGGCUAGAGUCCGGUAGGGGAGCAUGGAAUUCCUGGUGUAGCGGUGAAAUGCGCAGAUAUCAGGAGGAACACCAGUGGCGAAGGCGGUGCUCUGGGCCGGAACUGACGCUGAGGCGCGAAAGCCAGGGGAGCAAACGGG
Molecule: ribosomal RNA, 254 nt
Filed under: uncultured bacterium
Lineage: Bacteria
Description: partial 16S ribosomal RNA
Rfam family: Bacterial small subunit ribosomal RNA
Source: RNAcentral